AUUCUGACUCGAACUCGAAAAUAGGGAGGCUAGUGUUGGAGGUAUUUUUAUACUAACCAAAGACAUAAGGCAUAUGAGGACAUGAAGCCCUAUCAGGCCCGAUCUGAGACCUGGCACGAGCUUGAUCAUUGACCUCCUCUCCAAAAUCCAACCCGCGCUCGGCUACUGACCUAACAAAGCACAUGAAGGUAUCUCCGUUUCCAUC
This 205-nucleotide long non-coding RNA is filed under the name Elaeis guineensis (African oil palm). RNAcentral's name for it is "long non-coding RNA (EGUI_LNC054373)". Lineage: Eukaryota; Viridiplantae; Streptophyta; Magnoliopsida; Arecales; Arecaceae. The record is from RNAcentral.